This is an unclassified non-coding RNA of Pongo abelii (Sumatran orangutan), 148 nucleotides long. It matches the Rfam family "Metazoan signal recognition particle RNA". Rfam says of the family: The signal recognition particle (SRP) is a universally conserved ribonucleoprotein. It is involved in the co-translational targeting of proteins to membranes. The eukaryotic SRP consists of a 300-nucleotide 7S RNA and six proteins: SRPs 72, 68, 54, 19, 14, and 9. Lineage: Eukaryota; Metazoa; Chordata; Mammalia; Primates; Hominidae. The record is from Ensembl.
GCCGGGUGUGGUGGUGUGCACCUGUGGUCCCCGCUGCAUGGGAAGCUGAGGUAGGAGGAUCGUUUGAGCCCAGGAUCUCAAGGCUGCAGUGAACUGUGUUCAUGCCACUGUACUCCAGCCUGGGCAACAGAACGAGACCCUGUCUCAA